Molecule: ribosomal RNA, 598 nt
Filed under: Mycena pura
Lineage: Eukaryota; Fungi; Basidiomycota; Agaricomycetes; Agaricales; Mycenaceae
Description: eukaryotic LSU rRNA
Rfam family: Eukaryotic large subunit ribosomal RNA
Source: RNAcentral
UUGACCUCAAAUCAGGUAGGACUACCCGCUGAACUUAAGCAUAUCAAUAAGCGGAGGAAAAGAAACUAACAAGGAUUCCCCUAGUAACUGCGAGUGAAGCGGGAAAAGCUCAAAUUUAAAAUCUGGCGGUUCUGCCGUCCGAGUUGUAAUUUAGAGAAGUGCUAUCCGCGCUGGACCGUGUACAAGUCUCCUGGAAUGGAGCGUCAUAGAGGGUGAGAAUCCCGUCUUUGACACGGACUACCAGGGCAUUGUGAUACGCUCUCAAAGAGUCGAGUUGUUUGGGAUUGCAGCUCAAAAUGGGUGGUAAAUUCCAUCUAAAGCUAAUAUUGGGGAGAGACCGAUAGCGAACAAGUACCGUGAGGGAAAGAUGAAAAGAACUUUGGAAAGAGAGUUAAACAGUACGUGAAAUUGCUGAAAGGGAAACGCUUGAAGUCAGUCGCGUCGUUCAGGAUUCAGCUUUAGCUUCUGCUAGGUGUAUUUCCUGUUUGACGGGUCAGCAUCAGUUUUGGCCGGUGGAUAAAGGCUCAGAGAAUGUGGCAUCCUCGGAUGUGUUAUAGCUCUGGGUCGCAUACAUCGGCUGGGACUGAGGAACUCAGCA